AACAACGCUGGCGGAGGCCUACACAUGCAUGUCGAGCGCGCCUUCGGGUGAGCGGCGGACGGGUUAGUAACGCGUGGGAACGUGCCCUUCUCUACGGAAUAGCCUCUGGAAACGGAGAGUAAUACCGUAUACGCCCUUUGGGGGAAAGAUUUAUCGGAGAAGGAUCGGGCCGCGUUAGAUUAUGUAGUUGGUGGGGUAACGGCCUACCAAGCCUACGAUCUAUAGCUGGUUUUAGAGGAUGAUCAGCAACACUGGGACUGAGACACGGCCCAGACUCCUACGGGAGGCAGCAGUGGGGAAUCUUAGACAAUGGGGGCAACCCUGAUCUAGCCAUGCCGCGUGAGUGAUGAAGGCCUUAGGGUCGUAAAGCUCUUUCGCCUGUGAUGAUAAUGACAGUAGCAGGUAAAGAAACCCCGGCUAACUCCGUGCCAGCAGACGAGGUAAUACGGAGGGGGUUAGAGUUGUUCGGAAUUACUGGGCGUAAAGCGCGCGUAGGCGGAUUAGAAAGUUGGGGGUGAAAUCCCGGGGAUCAACCCCGGAACUGACUCCAAAACUGCUAAUCUAGAGUACGAGAGAGGUGAGUGGAAUACCGAGUGUACAGGUGCAAUACGUAAAUAUUCGGAAGGAA
RNAcentral lists this ribosomal RNA (628 nucleotides) under uncultured Alphaproteobacteria bacterium. RNAcentral describes it as "bacterial SSU rRNA". It matches the Rfam family "Bacterial small subunit ribosomal RNA", at positions 28 to 706 of the family's 1533-position model. The record is from RNAcentral. Lineage: Bacteria; Pseudomonadati; Pseudomonadota; Alphaproteobacteria.